Molecule: ribosomal RNA, 373 nt
Filed under: uncultured bacterium
Lineage: Bacteria
Description: bacterial SSU rRNA
Rfam family: Bacterial small subunit ribosomal RNA
Source: RNAcentral
GGAAGGGGCAAGCGUUGUUCGGAAUCAUUGGGCGUAAAGGGCGCGUAGGUGGUCCUAUGUGUCUACUGUGAAAGCACACGGCUCAACCGUGUCGGGUCGGUAGAAACUGUAGGACUUGAGGCUGGGAGGGGCUGGUGGAAUUCCCUGUGUAGCGGUGAAAUGCGUAGAGAUGGGGGAGAACACUCGUGGCGAAGGCGGCCAGCUGGACCAGUCCUGACACUGAGGCGCGACAGCAUGGGGAGCAAACAGGAUUAGAUACCCUGGUAGUCCAUGCCGUAAACGAUGGGCACUAGGUGCCGGCGGUAUUAAUCCCGUCGGUGCCGGCGCUAACGCAGUAAGUGCCCCGCCUGGGGAGUACGGUCGCAAGGCUGAA